UGUCACGGGGUGACGAAAGGGAAGCGGAACUAAGUCCCGCCGGAAUUUUGUGUUCCCCUCGGGACGGUGUCGCGGUAACACCGGUCCACUUCCGGGUUGCGCCCGAUGUCGCAAUAACAACGCUAAUGACAGAUUGACAUCUGGUGUGGGGAGUUUGAUGUGGCGAUCUGUGAGAGGAUUAUGGAGGCGGAGUAACCACAUAAAAAGAGAAGUGCAGAGACCAUGAAAAAGGGUUGUUGAUUCUUUUUGGUCGUUCGUUCUUCCGGCUAUUCUUCCGGUUGGCUUGCCCAGUGUGUGGUUCUUCUCUUUGGAUGUGUUCCCCUAGGAGAGGUGAAUUCCUGGGACGUUUGGGCUGGCGUGUGGAGGUAUUUGAGGACUAUUGUGGGGUUUCGGCUAUCUGGCUGUGCAACAGAUAUAUCAGCGAUCGAGUGGAGAUAUUCAGGACAGAAAGAGUGUGAGUUCUGGAAAGCAAGUGAAGACCAGACCGCGCCAUCGCUAUCGGAGGGAAGUUAAGAGACCUGAUCUGGGACUUCGAUCAAUUGUAUACAUCUGGACUGGGAGUGAUAACGUUGUGAAGUGGACGGAGUCAUCGUUGGGUGAGUGCUGGCUCUAUUUGCACUAAGAGUGGGUGUGCCGUGUCUGAAGUGGUGUGUUUGCACAAUAAAUCGUUUGAAGUGAAGUUACAGAGUGUGGGGAAGAUAUAUAGAGUUAAUGCCGGACGCUCACCACCCCGAGAGCCCACCACCGUCACCGUAAUCCACACCCAGGCACUCAACUGAAGUAUCCCCCAGCCGUAAGCCCCAUUGCUUAUUCAAGAACACAUACAUGCUGUUGAUUACUUACCCCGCUGUGUAGAUCGCAGGAUCCUCUGGGCCGAACGCCGCAUGUGAUGUCCCUAUGAAAGGAGGUGGACACAAGAAUUAUUCCUUUCCCGGUCUUAACCGAAGCAUCUCCCAGCCGUAAGCCCCCACUACUUAUUCAAGAACACAUACUUAAUGUUGAUUACUUACUCUGCUGUGCAGAUCGCAGGAUCCUUUGGGCCGAACGCCGCAUGUGAUGUCCCUAUGAAAAGAGGUGGACACGAGAAUUAUUCCUUUUCCCGGUCUCGACCGAAACAUCCACGAGCUCUAUUACCCGGAUACCCCCCUCACUCCGGACGGGUGACAGACUAUCCUGGCUCUUGCUGGCCCCGUACAGGCACGAAUUGCUGACGACUCCACGCCUUCCCGGCGUCCGAGUUCUGGUCGGGAGACACGGAAGGAACACUGAACUUUUAAAUUGCUUUUAACCAAAAUAAAACCUUGUUCAUUUUUUUAUACUCUCGUCCGUCUGGUUCUUCUGGUACGCUCCCCGAGGUGAUCCUGGGUUUCAGGGGUGGGUGCAGUCCAGCUUGGCCCCCCCCGACCUGUGACAGAUUCAUUACUUUUUCCUUCAAGAAAUUAAAGAAACAAUAAAAGUAAAUAUCAAAAGUUCCCAAAAAUCUAUUGUGUUAUUUGCAUUGAUCCACUAUAUAAACAUAAUAUCUACAUACAUGCCAUUUGAUUGGAGGCUAGUCUCACUUUGUCCCACAGCAACUUUUUUUUUUUUAGAUGUGUGUACAAUGUUUCAUGUUUCUGUUAAUAAUGUAUUGUAUUAAGUGUCCAUUUCAUUAUAAUAUUCAGAUUUAUCAUAAAUAAUUGAACAUGCACAUGUAUUUUAAGUUCCUUUAAAGUGGAGUAGAGGUGGGGUCACAUUUGAGCAUUUAAAAUUUAAUUUUACUUGAAAGUAACGCAAUAGUUACUUUCUUAAGUAACUACUUACUUUUGAAAUUA
Molecule: long non-coding RNA, 1811 nt
Filed under: Carassius auratus (goldfish)
Lineage: Eukaryota; Metazoa; Chordata; Actinopteri; Cypriniformes; Cyprinidae
Description: lncRNA (ENSCARG00000000356.1)
Source: RNAcentral